AGAUUGAACGCUGGCGGCAUGCUUUACACAUGCAAGUCGAACGGUAACAGGCCGCAAGGUGCUGACGAGUGGCGAACGGGUGAGUAAUGCAUCGGAACGUGCCCAGUCGUGGGGGAUAACGCAGCGAAAGCUGUGCUAAUACCGCAUACGAUCUAUGGAUGAAAGCGGGGGACCGAAAGGCCUCGCGCGAUUGGAGCGGCCGAUGUCAGAUUAGCUAGUUGUGGGG
Molecule: ribosomal RNA, 226 nt
Filed under: uncultured soil bacterium
Lineage: Bacteria
Description: partial 16S ribosomal RNA
Rfam family: Bacterial small subunit ribosomal RNA
Source: RNAcentral